CGGCAGCACGAGAGAAGCUUGCUCUCUUUGGAGGCGAGUGGCGGACGGGUGAGUAUAUAUCGGAACGUGCCCAGUAGCGGGGGAUAACUACUCGAAAGAGUGGCUAAUACCGCAUACGCCCUACGGGGGAAAGGGGGGGAUUCUUCGGAACCUCUCACUAUUGGAGCGGCCGAUAUCGGAUUAGCUAGUUGGUGGGGUAAAGGCUCACCAAGGCAACGAUCCGUAGCUGGUUUGAGAGGACGACCAGCCACACUGGGACUGAGACACGGCCCAGACUCCUACGGGAGGCAGCAGUGGGGAAUUUUGGACAAUGGGGGAAACCCUGAUCCAGCCAUCCCGCGUGUAUGAUGAAGCCUUCGGGUUGUAAAGUACUUUUGGCAGAGAAGAAAGGUAUCCCCUAAUACGAGAUACUGCUUGACGGUAUCUGCAGAAUAGCACCGGCUAACUACGUGCCAGCAGCCGCGGUAAUACGUAGGGUGCAAGCGUUAAUCGGAAUUACUGGGCGUAAAGCGUGUGGUAGGCGGUUCGGA
Molecule: ribosomal RNA, 530 nt
Filed under: Alcaligenes faecalis
Lineage: Bacteria; Pseudomonadati; Pseudomonadota; Betaproteobacteria; Burkholderiales; Alcaligenaceae
Description: bacterial SSU rRNA
Rfam family: Bacterial small subunit ribosomal RNA
Source: RNAcentral